This 506-nucleotide ribosomal RNA is filed under the name uncultured bacterium. RNAcentral describes it as "partial 16S ribosomal RNA". It matches the Rfam family "Bacterial small subunit ribosomal RNA", at positions 29 to 523 of the family's 1533-position model. The record is from RNAcentral.
AUUGAACGCUGGCGGCAGGCCUAACACAUGCAAGUCGGACGGUAGCACAGAGGAGCUUGCUCCUCGGGUGACGAGUGGCGGACGGGUGAGUAAUGUCUGGGGAUCUGCCCGAUAGAGGGGGAUAACCACUGGAAACGGUGGCUAAUACCGCAUAACGUCGCAAGCCCAAAGAGGGGGACCUUCGGGCCUCUCACUAUCGGAUGAACCCAGAUGGGAUUAGCUAGUAGGCGGGGUAACGGCCCACCUAGGGGACGAUCCCUAGCUGGUCUGAGAGGAUGACCAGCAACACUGGAACUGAGACACGGUCCAGACUCCUACGGGAGGCAGCAGUGGGGAAUAUUGCACAAUGGGCGCAAGCCUGAUGCAGCCAUGCCGCGUGUAUGAAGAAGGCCUUCGGGUUGUAAAGUACUUUCAGCGGGGAGGAAGGCGAUGUGGUUAAUAACCGCAUUGAUUGACGUUACCCGCAGAAGAAGCACCGGCUAACUCCGUGCCAGCAGCCGCCGUAA